AUUUAAUCCCCAAAACAAUCCUGUGAGGUAGGUUAGGCUGAGAGAGGCAGGGAUGGGCGACCUUGGGCCAGUCCCUGCCUCUCUCAGCCUAACCUACCUCACAGGAUUGUUUGGGGGAUUAAAUGA
This is a non-coding RNA of Podarcis lilfordi (Lilford's wall lizard), 126 nucleotides long. The record is from the annotation of a GenBank genome assembly. NCBI's taxonomy places the organism in Eukaryota, Metazoa, Chordata, Lepidosauria, Squamata, Lacertidae.